Non-coding RNA from Lactuca sativa (garden lettuce), 5595 nucleotides. The record is from RefSeq and is a predicted model, not a curated record. NCBI's taxonomy places the organism in Eukaryota, Viridiplantae, Streptophyta, Magnoliopsida, Asterales, Asteraceae.
UCUCCAUAACUCUCAUAAAAACUCCCAUGUGCACAAUAUUCACUUAGAUAUUUUUGUACAAAAUGAAUACAAGUUAAAAUCACCAAGUACAAACUAAAUGAUCACUCUAUAUAUAUUGUAGAAAUCUUCCCUCACAUUUCUUCCUCCUUACCUCUCUAAGUCUUGAACCCUCUCCUGUUUCCUCUAUCUCUUUUUCUCUCAUUUCAUCACCUUCUCAAACACUUUAUUUCUCUCUUUUUGAGCAGCCAAAGAAGCCAAGAGGAGGCCUUCAUUUACAACCCUUUUUUCAGCCUUCUUUCUUCCUUUUCUUCUCGAGAAUAACAGCCCCAAAACACCCGUUAAUCCCUUGUGUAGCUACUAAUUUUUGAAGAUCAAAACAACCCCAUAGGAUGAUUUCGAGUGAAAAAAGGAACCAAAAUAGCCCCAAAAGGAGCAGUUUUCAAGUGGUAUAAAACCCCAAAAAACUGCCAUAUUUUGCACCUUAAAAGCUCUUGUGUGGCUGCUGAAUUUCGAGGAACAAAACUGCCCCAAAAAGAGCUAUUUUCGAGUAUUAAAAGGUCCAAGAAGUUUCCAUCUUUUGCUCCUAAACUUUACUUAUCUUGAACUCUCUUUUGAACCUCUUCUUGUCUCAAAAGUCUUAGAUUGUCCAAAAACCUCUGCGUUCAAAAGCUGGUGAUACCUGAAAAACGUCCCGAACUCGAAAAGAAUUAACCUCACAUGACUAGGGGUUUCUGGUUUUAUGUGUGAGCCAUUAGAGGCAUCAUCCUUUUGCUACUAAGCUUUCCAAGACCAACAACUAUAAGAGAUUGAAGUGAUUUGUUUACUACAACAAAUUAAAGGUAUGUAACCCUAACUUGGUAUUUUGAUUACAUUAGAGUUCAUGUUAGUUUUGUUGUUCAUUGUAUGUUACACACAAAGUGUUAUGACAUAGAUCCUUUAGGUUGCAUGUGCCCUUAAGUGCUAAGUGAAAUUCCACAAGACAUUGAUUUUUGUAACCUAUAACACCCAUUAGUGGUAUCAGAGGCUUGGUGUGCCUAACAUUGAUUGUACAUGAUAUGACCUAAACGAAUCUAAAAUUUUCGAAAAACUCUUUCUCAUGAUGUGACAGGCCUUCUGUCACGAUGUGAGAUUGGUCUGACAACAAACUCUUAUCCAUGAUGAAGAUGUUAACGCAACAGAUGACUCAACAAUAGGAAGAUAAUAGAACACUGCUUAAGGAGAUUGCCGAUGAUAGGAUGGUGACAGUUACGUAUAGUUACCGAGGUUUCACUUUAGAGGUCUUUGGCGGGAGGUUCCCAAUCGGUUUAUUUCAAUCGCGAUGCAGGAAUUACGCGUGAUUGUGGAAAUAUUUGGAUGGGAACAUUGGUGUCAGGAUUGUUUGUCUUCACAAACAAGUACGUGUUUGAACCCUAGUGGGGAGAAUCAUCAAUUAAGAGUGAUACCUUAGUCGGAGCAUGACAACAUGUGUGGUCAUAGGGCUCGAAGUUACCCGUUGUGUUACAAUGUAGAGUAUUCAGCUAUUAUGAAGAAUAUGUAUGUUGAAAAAGAAUAUAAGGUGGUUGAAAAAGAACAGGUCAUUAGAGAGUUCCAUGGGUUUAUCCCUUGAAAUUUUGUUGGGGAUACCAAUGGUGCGUCGGAUGGGGUUCCAUUUAGUUUGAUUUUAGGGUGUCUCAUAGUGGAGCUUUGUGUGGAAGAAGGUCUACUUAGCUCCAUAAAACAAUUGAUCACUUAGAAUCCAAAUAGUGUGCGUCGUUAAUAUAGGUUGGGACUGGAUCCAUCCUGGGGCAUCAACAGAGGUUCGUUGGAUUCCAAGUAGGGAAGAAUUACUCAUCAUAAUAAGAGAUCAAGGACUGCACAAACUUCGGUAUGGUAAGGAAGGCUUGAGUCAGCUGUUGUAGAUUUUGAAAUCUUUAGUCUCGCCAGUUGAUGAAUAGGAGAGAUAAAAGGCAGACAACCAUCCAAGAUGGAUGAUUUGGUUCAGGUGUGGUGUAUCGUUGUGGCCUAUUAUGUAUUCAAGAGUGUCAUGGAUUCGAUCUUUAUAACGGAUGUAACUUGUUUUGAGUAAUGUUCAUCAGGUGUUUUGAUUCAUCAACAUUGACUCACAUGUUAAGUAAUUAGAUAGGCUCUAGUUUAAGAUCACGAUGACAGUACCCUUGCUUGUUCUUGUCUGGUAAAGUCUCGGAGUUUCGAGGCAUGGUUCGAAAAUCGGAUAGUAUCGUCUAGGUUCCUAGGGUUAUCUACUUCAUUUUGUUCUUAUCUACUACUAUUAUUAUGGGAUGUGGUGUUGGAUAAGGUGUAUAAGUCCGUAACUAUAUUUGGCAUCAACUUGACCCGACCCGGCAUGGUCCAUUUGGGUUGCACUUCACCUAACAGUUUGUUUGGAUAUACUUUUGAGAAUAAGAUGUUUAUGAUAUAUUAAUAUAUUAUUGGUUAUAAUAUAUUAAUAUGAUAUCAUAAUUAUUUAAUUAGUAUUGAUCAAGAAUUAAUUUAGAAUUAAUUUAGUGAUCAAAAUGGAGCUAAUUAAAUAUGGACUCUUAUUUAUAUAUAUGGAUUAGGCUAAGAUUUAUUUAGGAUGGGCUAAGAGUAUAUGGAGUCCAUGGAUAGUCCAUGGAGGUUUUAACCCAUGGAUCCUAGGUAAAUGAAGAGUCAUGGGUAUUAGGGUUUAACCCUAAUCCUCCAUACUAUAUAAAGGAGUCUUUGUUUCUAGAAUUGGCACUAGUAUGUGUGAGCAUAAGAGUGAGCCGAUUUCUAUAAGUGUUCUUAUUCUCUCAAGAGCUUCUAAUUUGUUUUGGUGAUUUGUGACACCACUUGAGGCAUCCACAAUAUUGGUGCUGGGCUCAUAAACUCCAAGCAAUCAACCACAAAAGUAAGGUAUGUUAUUCUACUUAAAGUUUUGUGUUACAAGUACCCUAUAACAUGCUAGUUAGAUUGUGAACCUUGGAAAUAAAAUUUACAUGUAUUUUAGAGAAAACAUAGAUCCAAGGUUUCUAGGGUUGCAUGUACACCAUAGGAGUGUUAGUAUGCUCAAAACCCAACAGUGGUAUCAGAGCCUAGGCUUGUUUUCUUGAUACUUGAUGCAAACUUAUUGAAAAAGUUGAAAAAUCUGCAAUCUGACGCAUUAACUCACCGAGUCUAUGGGGGGACUCAACGAGUCCAUGACCAAACUCAUCCUACUCGUCGAGUAGGUUCUUGCACUCGACGAGUAGGAGCCCCAUAAUGCAGUUUUUCGACUUUUGUUGCCGGAAAUGGACUAGAAACAUUAACCUAAACUGUUUUGGUGUUUUAAAACUUAUUUUAGAUGGUGUAAUGUUUAUGCUAAUCCAUUUACAAUGGCUAAUAUCAAAAUUCCAUGUUUUAUACGUGUUAAUAUGAUUCUUGUAAUUUUGAUAUGAAUGUUCAUGUUCUUAUGAGUUUUAGAAGAUCAUGUAAAUUAUGUGUUAUUUGCUUGUAGUGUAAUUCUUGAUCUUAAUGGCUAAUAAUGGAAUUCAUAACUUGUCCUCAAGUUAUGGAUAACCAAAAUUCACUUCUUUAAAAGUGUCAUUAAAGAAUAAGAAGUUACAUAAAAUGAAGAGUUUUUUUUAUGGAUCAUUAAAACUCAUAAGUUAUGAAAUGAAAAGUCUUGAAUAGUUUCAAUACUUGCCCUCAAGUCUUGGAAUUUAUAAAGUCUCACACAUUAAUACUUUAAUUCCAAAUAGAUCCUUGGAAUUUUAAAAGUUUAAAAUUCAACCCUUAUACUUUUAUAAUAUUAAAAGUUUAAUCAUUAUAUAUGUUAUACUCUCACCCACCGCUUCCUUGACUGGUGGAGGGUUGUUAGUCGAACAGGUAGGAUGGGACCUGAAUCCUCAUUAAAAGUAUAAUGAAAUUAUAAAGUAACUAAACCUUUAUUAAUUCUCAAUCUUAGUUACUUUAGGAAAAUGUGAAAUAGGUGCUAACCCAUGAAAUUACACUUUGUACCUUACUAAGUCAUUAGUGGAGCGUGUGUGGUUAACCGGCACACUAACAAGGACUAGUAAGAGUGGCAAAGGGUGACUUAAGUUUUAUCAUAGAUCGGUGGAUCACGUGUGGUUAACCGACACAUCGAUUAGGUCUUAAAAUUAAGGGUACCAAGUCAAUUUGCAUGGUUAUUUACACCUUGUUUGUGAUCCUCGGCAUCCCAGUCACAAACUUAAGAGGGAACAAUCAAGAUUCAAACAUGCCAUUGAAAGUUCAAUGUAUCUCAAAAGAUCUAGGAGUUUCAAAUCCAAUUAAAACUUAAUAAUUUAUUUCGUUUAUAAUGGUGGAAAUUGGUAAAUCGUCAUUUACCUACCUUCAAAUAUUUCAUAGCUUGGAUUAUGGCAUCCCUCUUCCAAGUUAUGAAAUAGUUUGUGGGGUCCUGGCCUUUAUAUUUCAUUUGGGUGACUUAUUAAGGAUUAUUCAUCUAAUUAAACUUGUCCUUUUUUAUUUCUGAUGUCUUCCAACGCUACUACUAGCUCAAACCGUACAAGCUCCUUUUCCCUCAUGAACUUAUGUGGGAAAGUCACUUUUGAUGGGUCUAACUUCAAUGAAUGGAUUAGAAACAUCAGGAUGAUUACCCGCUAUGAGAACAAGGAAUAUGUCCUUGAUAAGGAGCUCAAGGUUAUCAAUGAGUCCACUGCUACUCCUGAGGAGCUUGCGGAGUACACUGCACAUGAGAGGGAUGCUACCAAAUUGUCCUGCAUCAUGUUGGCAACCAUGACUCCCGAACUCCAGAAAUCCUAUGAAGAUUUCUACCCCUAUGAGAUGCACCUGGAUCUGAUGGAUAGGUACCAUCAAAGCGCGCGUCAAGAAAGGUAUGAAAUCAUCUCCUCCAUGAUAAUGGCCAGGAUGAAGGAUGGUGAAACCAUCACCGGUCACUUGCAAAAAAUGCAAAGGUUCGUGGACCGGUUGCUGAAGCUGAAUGUGGACUUCCCUGAGGACUUGGCGAUUGAUAUCAUUCUCCAUUCCUUACCUCCAUGUUAUGAUCAGUUUUGUAUGACUUAUCAUAUGAACAAGGAGGAAGUUACACUUAGCAAACUUCAAGGACUUUUAAGGACCGCUGAAAGUGGCCUUAAAGGUAAGUCGACUGUUACUUUUACUCCUACUACAGUAGCUCCUGUUCUGGAAAUUGGGCAGGGAAAAGGGAAGAAGAGGAAGACCCCUUCGAAGGGUACCAAGGGAAAGUCCCUUGAUGGCUCCUCUUCAAGUGGGACCAAGAAAGGUCUCAUUCCUCCUUCUUCAAACUCAAAGGAAGCACAAUGCUUCUACUGCCACGAAAAGGGGCACUGGAAGCGAAGCUGGCCCAAGUACUUGUAGGAUGUGAAGGAUGGGAAAGUUAAACCCACCCAUGCAGGGCCUAAGAAGUAGUGAAGAAAUGGAGCACGGGAAGAUAAACCUAAUCAUGGGCAAUAGGAAAGCAUCAUAUGUAACCAAGAUUGGAGUUUAUUCUUUAUUGCUUAAUAAUGGGUUAACUUUAGAUUUGAAUAAAUGUUGUUACUCGUCAGAAAUGGCGAGAAAUAUUAUUUCCCUUCAUAGUUUGUACAAACAAGGUUUCACCUUUUCAUUUGAUAAUAAAAUUGGUGCUAUUGAUGCUUUUUAUAA